AGCAAGUCGGAUAAAGCGCCAAGCGCUGCAAUCGCACUGCAGAGGUCAGGGGUUCGAUUCCCCUCAGCUCCACCA
This 75-nucleotide transfer RNA is filed under the name Rhodoblastus sphagnicola. RNAcentral's name for it is "tRNA-Ala". It matches the Rfam family "tRNA", at positions 14 to 71 of the family's 71-position model. Rfam says of the family: Transfer RNA (tRNA) molecules are approximately 80 nucleotides in length. The record is from RNAcentral. Lineage: Bacteria; Pseudomonadati; Pseudomonadota; Alphaproteobacteria; Hyphomicrobiales; Rhodoblastaceae.